Non-coding RNA from Nicotiana tabacum (common tobacco), 2216 nucleotides. The record is from RefSeq and is a predicted model, not a curated record. Lineage: Eukaryota; Viridiplantae; Streptophyta; Magnoliopsida; Solanales; Solanaceae.
UUCCCAAAAGUCACACCCUUCGUGCAAGUAAUCUACCGUCUCUUUCCCUUCUUUCUCCCAAUCUAAUUGGUUACAUACUUUCUAUAUUGAUCCGACGGACCCAUUUCCGUGACCCAACCCAUUAAUUUUCUUCAGGCCAUUUGAUUUUGAGCUCUCUCUUAUACCACUCUGCCGCCCUUUCGAAUCAUCUUUUUGACGGUUCGGAGUCGCAGUAUUUCGGGUCCCUUUGAUUGCAACGACAUUUAGCAGCUCCAGACAAUCACUCCGUUGCCAAUCCUGGUGAAUGGUGUACUUGCGGCUGAGGGUGGUAUUCUCUUUUAUUAUUCAGUCCUAUAGUCGGGUAUUAGUGGUGAAACAACUUUUCAACCUCGGAUCAGCAGCUAUGCUUGCUAUUCAGACUGGGACAACUGGUAUCAUUGUGUGCUCACUAACUCGAUUUUGUGCCUCUGAAAAUCAUGGCUCUUGAAGAGGCAAGGACGAAUGGACCAAUAAAUUCUGUAAAUCGCUUGUAUAUUUGUUCGCGGCAUUGUUCCAUACCAGAAACAGAAGUCCAAAUCAACAAGGUCUCAUCCCCAAAAGUUUCUUAAUGCAAAUUUGGAUCGAAGAAGGGAGCACCCUCACCGUUAGGGAUACUCCAUUCGCUAUGGCAUUUCAAAAGGGUAGUGAUGAGCUCGAGCGAUACCGGGAUCAGACUUUGACACGGGACAUCCCUAGCAACUUAAGGGAUUUCCAAUACAGAGGGGAAUUUUUGCACUAUGAACUUGCCAAGAGCAUGGGAGUUAGUCUUUCUAGAUAUUUUCCUUUGUUCUUUGAGCGGCGGCCUGUUGCUCUGUUUGAACUACUCACUACUUCAAGAGACUCACUCUUUCCCAUAAAUGAGUUCAUGGAGAUUAAAGAAGAACUGCAGAAAAUUGGCUUGGAAACCUUAUUCAGCAUGGGAUUUGAUUUUGCCGCACAAGUGCAAAUGCAAGUUUCUGCUCAAGAAAAUGAGCAAGCUUUGGUUACUGCACCCGUACCCUUGCUAACCUCAAAAGGAAACCAACAGAAUUUCGUUUCUGGUCAAGAAAAUGAGCAAGCUUUGAUUGCUGCACCCUCACCCUUGCUAACCUCAAAAGGAAACCAACAGAAUUUCGUUUCUGGUCAAGAAAAUGAGCAAGCUUUGAUUGCUGCACCCUCACCCUUGCUAACCUCAAAAGGAAACCAACAGAAUUUGAUACCUAGUCAAGGAAAUGAGCAAGCUUUGUUUGUUGCACCCUCACCCUUGCUAGCCUCAAAAGGAAACCAACAGAAUUUGAUUUUUGGUCCCUUGCUAACCUCAAAAGGAAAAGAGUAAGAGGGAGAUAAUGUUCUUCCCCCAUUUGGUUAUUAUCCCAUGGUUGUUGCAACCCUGGUCAACCCCAAGACCAACAAGGUCUUUGACUAGAAAGAGUCACACUUCUCCAUCCUCCAGUUGAGAAAAUAUAUUGAGGGAGUUUUUGGGUAGACAGUAUCUAGUAUAGGGUUCGAUAUCUUUGCACUUAAUGAAAAUGAAGAGAGGGUCAAGAUGUUAGAUUGUGACACUCUAGUAAAAGAAUUCUUAGAUAACAACCGAUUUAUGUACCAUGUGGAGGUCGAGAGGGUCGAUCUAAGAGGGCAGCCUGAACCUAAAAAUGGGACCUUUGACAUUCUACCCGGAGAUUUUUUAAAGAUUUACGACGCCAUUCAAAAGAUUCCUCAUUACAACACACAUGCAGCAAAAGACACAAAGAUGCAGAAGUUGUUUAGGACGUCUAGAAAAACCAUUACAAGAUGGCGUGACAAGUUUAUCCCGGCUCCAUCGAAGAGACAGAAAAGUGGAGAACAUUCACAAGAAGCCGACUCUGGUCGGCCACAAGAAUUGGCGCCGACGGCUAUUGUUCCACCUUCAUUGCCUCCUUUUGGCACCUCUUCUCAACUGGUGUUGGUGCCUACCAACAUUGAUAAGCCACAAGGAUUGCUACCGCCCUCUAUGGUUCCGCAAGUCCCGGCUACUAACACUCUUUCCCAGCCACCAGGACUUUUAACCUCUGCCCCUAACUUCAUUCCUCACAUUUGACCCUCAACCCUCAACAAAUGUUUGGCAAUUUAUGGACUCUACCAAAUGUGGGGUAUGACAAGUCCACCACAACCACAAGCACCGGUGUACCUUUAGGCACGUUUGCUUACAUAUAUAGUAUGACAUCUUUGUCGUCUUUUAA